Molecule: ribosomal RNA, 108 nt
Filed under: Xylolejeunea grolleana
Lineage: Eukaryota; Viridiplantae; Streptophyta; Jungermanniopsida; Porellales; Lejeuneaceae
Description: partial 26S ribosomal RNA
Rfam family: Eukaryotic large subunit ribosomal RNA
Source: RNAcentral
CGGACCUCAGAUCAGGCAAGAUCACCCGCUGAGUUUAAGCAUAUCACUAAGCGGAGGAAAAGAAACUAACAAGGAUUUCCCUAGUAACGGCGAGCGAACCGGAAGUAG